AACGCGAAGAACCUUACCUGGGUUAGAAAACACGCGAACCUGGUAGAAAUAUCGGGGUGCUCUUCGGAGAACGCGCGGUUAGGUGCUGCAUGGCUGUCGUCAGCUCGUGUCGUGAGAUGUUGGGUUAAGUCCCGCAACGAGCGCAACCCUUAUCCCUAGUUGCCAUCGGGUCAAGCCGGGCACUCUAGUGAAACCGCCCCGGAUAACGGGGAGGAAGGUGGGGAUGACGUCAAGUCCUCAUGGCCUUUAUGUCCAGGGCUACACACGUGCUACAAUGGUCGGUACAAACCGUCGCAAACCCGCGAGGGGGAGCUAAUCGGAAAAAGCCGACCUCAGUUCGGAUUGGAGUCUGCAACUCGACUCCAUGAAGCUGGAAUCGCUAGUAAUCGCGGAUCAGAACGCCGCGGUGAAUACGUUCCCGGGCCUUGUACACACCGGAGUA
This 442-nucleotide ribosomal RNA is filed under the name uncultured bacterium. RNAcentral describes it as "bacterial SSU rRNA". It matches the Rfam family "Bacterial small subunit ribosomal RNA", at positions 958 to 1398 of the family's 1533-position model. The record is from RNAcentral.